This 217-nucleotide long non-coding RNA is filed under the name Elaeis guineensis (African oil palm). Its description in RNAcentral is "long non-coding RNA (EGUI_LNC013395)". The record is from RNAcentral. Lineage: Eukaryota; Viridiplantae; Streptophyta; Magnoliopsida; Arecales; Arecaceae.
CCACGGUAAAGAUCCAAAAUUUUGCUGAUGAUGCACUUAGACUGACCUUAUUUUUUUUUUUACUAAAGGACAAAGUCGAGUACCGGCUUGGCACAAUAAGAAGACCAAUCCAAACUUGGACUAAAAUAUAGCACGAGUUUCUUAAAAAAAAUUAUUUCAUAGUCGAACCAACACCAUGAGGUGAGCCAUCACUGGAUUUGCUUAGCUUCCAUGGGAA